CUCAUCUGAGCAGAAGCAAGUCCUGAAAGUACAAAAUAAUAGUAUGGGGCGAUUAUACCCUCUCUCUCCCCCCACCUUCUGCAUUUUUAGGGCUUUCUGAAUGUAGGUGUAACUUGAUUUGAUGACCAUCUUUUUCUCUUUUGCUGUCAAGAAUGUGUCUUGGCAACUGCUACGGAGAAGCCCCGCACAGCCUUUCGUGAGCUAGAAAGGUUAAAACUGAGUUGACAGGACAUCCCCAGCUCUCUGCUGUUGGAAAUUUUUUUCUGCCUUUCCAUCACAAUUGCAAUCAGCACACUACCUGCUUUCUGCAGCAACAGAAACAGCUGGAUCACCCAUUUUGAUGAGGGAUUACUCUUCAGUAUUUAUAGUAACACCCAUUUCACCAAGUGGAGCCCAAAAGAAGGAAAAAACAAACAACUGACUUUUCUUGUAACAGGACAAGUUCAUGUAUGAAAAAAUACAGGGGCCCGGUUCAGAUACCUGACAUCAUCGUUUCCUCCUUAUUAGAAGGGAUAAGAUCGCUCCAAAGCUAUUUAAAAGUAUCUUAAUUAUUAAAAAGAUGAUCAUUCUUUACACAGAUGUUACCUAUGUAUUCCUUGGUCAUUUGAACCAGGACAACAUUAUCAUUAUCCACAUAAUCAAAUUGGAUGAUUUCAUCCUCCGGUUCUAAUCUGUAUGAUAUUAUUAACCAAUUUCCUGCGAAACAUGAGCUACCGGAGACUUGACGCCUCAUUGUUGGUUACUAUGUUGUGUUACUAUGUUUGGUUACUGUGGCUGAUAUCAGUUUUGGUUACUGUGCUCAAGUCUAUUUUUCUAAUAAGGGCAACUAUGUAGAAAGAGUGAUUGCAAGAUGUCUGGAGAACAUUUGGGUAACAAAUUGUUUUUUCAGCAGAUGAGGUAUUGUUAUCUAGUCAUUCCUGUGUAAAUAAAAAAGGUAACCAGGAAACUGUGGGAUACUUUUCAGAAUAAAUUGACUACCUUUCUA
Molecule: long non-coding RNA, 985 nt
Organism: Cavia porcellus (domestic guinea pig)
Lineage: Eukaryota; Metazoa; Chordata; Mammalia; Rodentia; Caviidae
Exons: 3
Source: RefSeq, a predicted model, not a curated record